This 1171-nucleotide long non-coding RNA is filed under the name Homo sapiens (human). Its description in RNAcentral is "non-protein coding lnc-MIPEP-2:1". The record is from RNAcentral. Lineage: Eukaryota; Metazoa; Chordata; Mammalia; Primates; Hominidae.
GGGUCACCUUAAUAAACCUUCCCUCAGCACCUUAUUGUAAAUAAUAGCUCUGCCCUGCAGCAUCGGAAUCUUAACUCCCUGAGAACUGGGAAGUUGGCCUGUGGUUUUCACCAGGGCAGCCCCAGUGUCCUCAUCAGUGAUACGGAUAUCUUAGCAUUCAAGAUAGCUGUCCCUAAAGGAGAAGACUGUCUCAAAAAAUAAUGUUUUAAAAACCCAAAGUGGGAUAUUAUCUUCUAAAUUAAUUAAUUCCUGUUUGAAAUUUGACUUCAAGCUUCCAUUUUUAACUUUCUAAUGCCCUUUUCAACCUUUGAGAUUCUUUACCCAUUUUUUCAAGUAGGAUGACUCAAUUACAUUUUAUUUAUAGGUUCAGAAUUUUUCUUAAUUUAUAAAUUAUUUUAAAACUCUCUUAAUCCUGUCCCUCGGAGUUCACCUGGAGAGGCAGUAUUGAGCUUGGCCUGUCUGUGCUGCCAGGAAGGCCUGGGGUAGGACUCACCUACCCUCCACGUGACCAUGUCCUGUGGAAUGAGGGCUUUAAGGAAACACACACCAUGGACCAUUAUGUGAAGGGCAGGCUGAGAAAUGCAGAUGAAAUGCCUGGUACCUUUCGGAAUGCAAGAAAUACUUGCUAUUUCACACUAUUCUGGAACUUCUUUUUUCCCUUCUCAAAAACGACGGUACUCAAGUAAACCCCCUAGGAAGUGGCUAGACACCCAAGUUUAAAGACAAAACGAUCCCAAUCCAUUGGUUAAGGCCACAUCCCCUGGUCUUCCUUAGACCGUGAACCCAAGAGCUGUUUUCCCACACGGUCUGAAAAACAUUUAAUUUAGUGAUGCCCUUUAACAAAUCACAACCUGUUGAUUGUGAGUAAAUAUUUAAACCAGCUCAAUGGUUUUAAAUGUCUAACAGAGACUGAAGAUAAAAGCCAGAGAAAUUCGAUUUAUUGGUGACUGGGUAAUAAUCAACUGCUACUGUUCUCAGAAGGCCCCACCAAAGGCUCAGGCACACAGCGACUUUGAAGAGCAGCUCCCAAUUCAAGGGGUGCUGUCAACUCACUCAGUCAAGGCAUUCAACUUUUCCAUUUUUACUGAUAACAGACAAAGUCAAUGACUUACAAAUAUUUAGCAACUUUAUGGGAGAAAACUGCUAAAUUUGAAAGAUUUCAAUUUGAGAA